Molecule: non-coding RNA, 44 nt
Filed under: Mytilus galloprovincialis (Mediterranean mussel)
Lineage: Eukaryota; Metazoa; Mollusca; Bivalvia; Mytilida; Mytilidae
Source: RNAcentral
GCGUCACUGAUGAGUCUAAUAGGGACGAAACGCGCGUCUGGCAU